AGUGGACGCUGGCGGUAGGCCUAACACAUGCAAGUCGAACGGCAGCACAGUAAGAGCUUGCUCUUACGGGUGGCGAGUGGCGGACGGGUGAGGAAUACAUCGGAAUCUACUUUUUCGUGGGGGAUAACGUAGGGAAACUUACGCUAAUACCGCAUACGCCCUACGGGUGAAAGCAGGGGAUCUUCGGACCUUGCGCGAUUGAAUGAGCCGAUGUCGGAUUAGCUAGUUGGCGGGGUAAAGGCCCACCAAGGCGACGAUCCGUAGCUGGUCUGAGAGGAUGAUCAGCCACACUGGAACUGAGACACGGUCCAGACUCCUACGGGAGGCAGCAGUGGGGAAUAUUGGACAAUGGGCGCAAGCCUGAUCCAGCCAUACCGCGUGGGUGAAGAAGGCCUUCGGGUUGUAAAGCCCUUUUGUUGGGAAAGAAAAGCAGCAGGUUAAUACCCCGCUGUUCUGACGGUACCCAAAGAAUAAGCACCGGCUAACUUCGUG
RNAcentral lists this ribosomal RNA (492 nucleotides) under uncultured bacterium. RNAcentral describes it as "partial 16S ribosomal RNA". It matches the Rfam family "Bacterial small subunit ribosomal RNA", at positions 29 to 507 of the family's 1533-position model. The record is from RNAcentral.